UAACAGAGCCCUCGCGGAUGGGUGACGCUGAGACUCCCAGCAAGACAGGACCAGUUCUCGUUGAGAUCAUCGUCUUCACUGGUGUGAGCUGCCUCGUCUUCAUCAUCUUCAUCAUCAUCGUUAUCGUAGGUUGUUUGAAGUGCUUCAAAAAGCGCUCUGGAUUACGGAGGAGAAGUGACGGAGGUGCUCGAGAAGAACAAACAGUCAUGACCACUAAUCUUUAGGACGAACACGGCCGGGUGAUGCAAGUUUACUGAAACUGAUGAACUGUAAAACCAGCCAAUGUUUGGCUAUGUAAAGAUGAUCUGAUAAUUCAGUCCUCGUUUGGUCCACUACUUCAGUGUAUUACUACCACUAGUCUUUACUGGACUACUUCAAAGUAUUAUGCAAUAAUCAUUUUGAGUAUCAUAUAACAUCUUGUCAUGCAUGCCUUUUUAAGCUCAUGUCAUAAUUGUAUUUAUUCACAAAUUUUAUAUGGAAUUAUUAGUGUUAUGAGAAGUCUAAAUAUGACCUGAAAUCUCUUUUUAUGAUGGUUUUCCGAAGAUGAAAGUCUGUUCUGGACUGAAGGAGGUAUUAUGUGUCUAGAAAGAGCACUUACAAUGACUUACAAAGAUACACAGCAACAAUGUGUGUAUUCAUUCUAUAGAAAAAUGACUUUUUGUUCUCUUGUUUCUCAUUUUUGUCUUGAUGAUAUCCCAUAAUUUGUUUAUGGGGUUCAGGUCUUCUGGCCAGUCGAGCACACCAACACCAUGGUCAUUUAACCAACUUGGGCAGGAGCCAAACCCUGCUGGAAAAAUUAAAUCAGCAUCUUCAAAAAGCUGGUCAUCAGAAAGAAGCAUGAAGUGCUCCACAAUUUCUUGUUAAAUGGGUUUCAAAAAACACAAUGGCCUCAUUCUUAGUGGUCUCAGAUUCUUGAAUUGGUUUUGCUCGACAAUCCUCAUAAGGCUGCGGUUCUCUUGCUUGGUUGAGCAUCUGGUUUCUGGUUGAGUUUCCUUCUGCUCAACUUUCUGUUAACAUGCUUGGAUACAGCACUCUGUGAACAGACGGCUUCUUUGACAAUGAAUGUUGUGAAGGGUGUCAAUAUGUCACGGGGUGGUUUAGCAGGAAGGAGCACUCGACGAGAUUAAAUAAACUUAAACAGUUUUAAUCUUCUUCAAAUCUUCUAGGCAGCCAGACAGGCAGAACAUAAACCACACGUAUAAACCUCGACGAUACAAACACAGGACUUAAAUACACAAGGAAAUCACUAAAUUAACUAGACACAGGUGAGGACAAUGACACAAUUAACACGAAUAGAGGUAGGGAACACCGAGCACACGACACAAGACAAAAACAACAACAAAGGAUCCAAAGACGUGACACAAGGAUUGAGAAGAAUAGUGAACCAAACUGAGAGACCUUUGCAGGUGUUGCAGUGAUUAGCUGAUUGGCAUGUCACCGUGUUGUCAUUUGUUGAGAUUGGUGGGUUUUUGUUACAUAUGAGCCAAAAUCAUAAUUAAAAAAAAGAAUUAAAUAA
Puntigrus tetrazona (Sumatra barb) is the source of this 1516-nucleotide long non-coding RNA. RefSeq lists it as uncharacterized. The record is from RefSeq and is a predicted model, not a curated record. Lineage: Eukaryota; Metazoa; Chordata; Actinopteri; Cypriniformes; Cyprinidae. The transcript has 2 exons.